This 1138-nucleotide long non-coding RNA is filed under the name Sinocyclocheilus anshuiensis. Its description in RNAcentral is "lncRNA (ENSSANG00000029688.1)". Lineage: Eukaryota; Metazoa; Chordata; Actinopteri; Cypriniformes; Cyprinidae. The record is from RNAcentral.
CGGGGGUGUGCACUUCACUUCAUAAUAUCCGCACGAGUAAUUAUACGAAUUAAUGUUUAAUUCUUAAAAUGGCUUAUGAAUUCGUGUACAAAAGGAGUCUGUUGUUCAAUAUAUAGUUUAAGCGUGUCUGUUUGACACACUAAUCUGAAGCACUGUGCCUCAGUUGACCCGCCCUCCUGAGUGGACGCGUCCGCGGAGCUCCGUUCUGCUGGUGAGUUCACUUCAGCUAACUGCGAUUUCUAAAAGUCAUCCUUGAUUUCUAGAUUUGACGAAAUGUGAUAAAUCGGCGGAUCGUCUCGUCAUGAGCGACCGAAAACCGGCGCCUGACAGCGGACAGUACAAGCCGAGAAUGAGCGGAGGGAGCAGUGUGCAGAUGGAGGAUCGCAACAUGCUGCGACGGAUGGAGAAGGAGAGAAGGAGUCAGGGGGUGCAGCAGGAGGAGACGCAGUAUGACAGAAUCGCUCCGCUCUUCAACAAGCCGUAUAAGAGAAUCAAAGAUGAUGAGCUGUCCAGUCUCAUCCAGAGGAUGCUGGGUAAUUAUGAGGAAGGAUAUGACGGACCUGAGGAACUUUGUCCUGCGCUUAAUGAGCAUCCUGCGCACUUCCCUCACGUGGACGAGCAGUUGGGACGCACGGAUCGCUCCAGAGCCGCUUCAGACUCCGGCCCUCCUUCAGGUGAGAGCUGGGACAGUUUACCGGCCCCGGUGGAGCCACUGUCCCCUCUACAGUCCAGUGACUCGGACAGCGGCCCGCCUCCGCUGACUCACGUGCUCCCGCUGAAUUUGCACGGUAAACUGGCCAACGCCAAGAAACCCACAGCAUAUGUGAGGCCGACGGUCGGUCAGGAUCAGGUGACCAGCGGUUCUCCCGAACUGAAGGCCUCAUUGGAGUCUUAUGAGCACUUACAGGACCUGAAGGAGAGCAGCAAACCAAACCUUCCCGCUCUGCAGUCUGCUGAUAUUGUGUCUGGAGCGCGGGUGGGGGACAUUCUGCAGGAAAUGACCUCAUGGCCUCCACUACUGACGACCAUUUGCACGCCAACCACAGACGAGCCGCCUAAGUUCUCCUCCACUAAUGAGGUUAGAUCAGAAUAAAUGGUUUAGUUGGUCACUGAAACACUAGCAUUUGAACUCAUUCUU